Non-coding RNA from Clostridium sp. W14A, 80 nucleotides. The record is from Rfam. NCBI's taxonomy places the organism in Bacteria, Bacillati, Bacillota, Clostridia, Eubacteriales, Clostridiaceae.
AUUAUGAUACUCCUGUCCAGCCACAGACAUCGCAAUGGGGGCAGCUCGGAGAGAACCUCGGAGGGGUAUAGAGCCCGUGU